GGCCCUGUAGCCUAGUCUGGAUAAGGCGACAGCCUUCUAGGUUCUACAAAGAAAGCUGUAGAUCGGGGGUUCGAAUUGGAAAAAAGGUUUAUUGAACUUUGUCCAACGAAAGUCCCCUCAGGGCCG
This 126-nucleotide transfer RNA is filed under the name Candidatus Woesearchaeota archaeon. RNAcentral describes it as "tRNA-Arg". Lineage: Archaea; Nanobdellati; Candidatus Woesearchaeota. The record is from RNAcentral.